Columba livia (rock pigeon) is the source of this 537-nucleotide long non-coding RNA. RefSeq lists it as uncharacterized. NCBI's taxonomy places the organism in Eukaryota, Metazoa, Chordata, Aves, Columbiformes, Columbidae. The transcript has 3 exons. The record is from RefSeq and is a predicted model, not a curated record.
CCCUGCCCGUCACUGAGGUGUGUGACUGAUUUGCCUCUCAGUCCUUCACACGUGAGGAGGGGACGCUGCAGUGUAAAGUGUUUUGGGGUCUACGCAGAGCUGGUGCUGCCUGCAGCUGUGGAGCAAUGGCCAAAGCUGUGAACGGAUGUGGGGGAUUGAAGAUAAUCUGCACUUCAGGGGUCCUGCAGUAUUGCCGGGGUGUGGAAGGCAAGGGCCCGCUGAGCACCGUGGAGCUCCUCGGGAAACCAGCACCUUCCCGUGGAAAACGAGACAGGCCCCUGAGACAUGAAAACCCCGUCUUUCCAUCACUGCCUUCUCUCCGUGAGUUUUCUCACUUUGUUCAGUUAUUACUAAAAGGAAACAACCUCUGGGUUUGAGAAGUUUCCAUUGCUGUCCUACAUGCUAAAAAGAUCACACUUCAGUUCCAAAUAUACUUGGACUAUUGUAUCUCUCUUAUAUUUUUGUCUACCUUAAAUUUUCUUCUCCCCUUACACCUGCUGCUACCAAGAUCUCCUACAGAUAUAUUUGAAAUUAAUC